This 512-nucleotide ribosomal RNA is filed under the name Dacus pallidilatus. RNAcentral describes it as "partial 16S ribosomal RNA". It matches the Rfam family "Bacterial large subunit ribosomal RNA", at positions 1819 to 2597 of the family's 2925-position model. Lineage: Eukaryota; Metazoa; Arthropoda; Insecta; Diptera; Tephritidae. The record is from RNAcentral.
GUCUUUUUGAGUUAUUUUUAAAGUCUGGCCUGCCCGCUGAAUUUUUGAAUGGCCGCAGUAUUUUAACUGUGCAAAGGUAGCAUAAUCAUUAGUCUUUUAAUUGAAGGCUGGUAUGAACGGUUGGACGAGGUAUAAGCUGUUUCAUGUAAAUUUACAGUAGAAUUUUAUAUUUUAGUUAAAAAGCUAAAAUGAGGUUAAAAGACGAGAAGACCCUAUAAAUCUUUAUAUUUUAUAUAGUUUAAAUUUUUUUGGUUUUUUUUAUUUUUAUUAUAUAGGAUAUUUUGUUGGGGUGAUGUUAAAAUUUGAUUAACUUUUAAUUUUUUUUAAAUCAUUAAUUUAUGAGUUAUUGAUCCGUUAAUAGCGAUUAUAAGAUUAAGUUACUUUAGGGAUAACAGCGUAAUUUUUUUGGAGAGUUCAUAUCGAUAAAAAAGUUUGCGACCUCGAUGUUGGAUUAAGAUAUAGUUUUAGGUGUAGCUGCUUAAAGGUUAAGUCUGUUCGACUUUUAAAUUCUU